RNAcentral lists this transfer RNA (72 nucleotides) under Ovis aries (sheep). It matches the Rfam family "tRNA". Rfam says of the family: Transfer RNA (tRNA) molecules are approximately 80 nucleotides in length. Their secondary structure includes four short double-helical elements and three loops (D, anti-codon, and T loops). Lineage: Eukaryota; Metazoa; Chordata; Mammalia; Artiodactyla; Bovidae. The record is from Rfam by way of RNAcentral.
UCCCUGGUGGCUCAGAUGGUAAAGGGUCUGCCUGCAAUGCAGGAGACCCAGGUUCGAUUCCUGGGUGGGGAA